This 869-nucleotide ribosomal RNA is filed under the name uncultured bacterium. Its description in RNAcentral is "bacterial SSU rRNA". It matches the Rfam family "Bacterial small subunit ribosomal RNA", at positions 629 to 1501 of the family's 1533-position model. The record is from RNAcentral.
GAAACUGGGAGCCUAGAGUUCAGAAGGGGCAGAUGGAAUUAGUGGUGUAGGGGUAAAAUCCGUAGAUAUCACUAGGAAUAUCAAAAGCGAAGGCGAUCUGCUGGGAUGAUACUGACGCUGAGGCACGAAAGCGUGGGAGCAAACAGGAUUAGAUACCCUGGUAGUCCACGCCCUAAACGAUGAAUGCUAGUCGUCGGGAAGCUCGUCUUUUCGGUGACGCACUUAACAGAUUAAGCAUUUCGCCUGGGGAGUACGGUCGCAAGAUUAAAACUCAAAGGAAUAGACGGGGACCCGCACAAGUGGUGGAGCAUGUGGUUUAAUUCGAAGAUACACGAAGAACCUUACCUGGCCUUGACAUCCCAAGAACUUUCCAGAGAUGGAUUGGUGCUAGCUUGCUAGAACUUGGUGACAGGUGCUGCACGGCUGUCGUCAGCUCGUGUCGUGAGAUGUUGGGUUAAGUCCCGCAACGAGCGCAACCCUCGUCCUUAGUUGCUAACAGUUCGGCUGAGCACUCUAAGGAGACUGCCUCCGUAAGGAGGAGGAAGGUGAGGACGACGUCAAGUCAUCAUGGCCCUUACGGCCAAGGCUACACACGUGCUACAAUGGGGCGUACAGAGAGCUGCAAUACCGCGAGGUGGAGCCAAUCUCUUAAAGCGUCUCUCAGUUCGGAUUGUUCUCUGCAACUCGAGAACAUGAAGCUGGAAUCACUAGUAAUCGCAGAUCAGCUAUGCUGCGGUGAAUACGUUCCCGGGUCUUGUACUCACCGCCCGUCACACCAUGGGAGUUGAUUUCACCCGAAAUCGGGAUGCCAAACUGGCUACCGCUUACGGUGGAAUUAGCGACUGGGGUGAAGUCGUAACAAGGUAACC